Molecule: ribosomal RNA, 210 nt
Filed under: Proboscia inermis
Lineage: Eukaryota; Bacillariophyta; Melosirophyceae; Probosciales; Probosciaceae
Description: partial Bacterial small subunit ribosomal RNA
Rfam family: Bacterial small subunit ribosomal RNA
Source: RNAcentral
GGAACUGAGACACGGUCCAGACUCCUACGGGAGGCAGCAGUGGGGAAUAUUGCACAAUGGAGGAAACUCUGAUGCAGCCAUGCCGCGUGUGUGAAGAAGGCCUUCGGGUUGUAAAGCACUUUCAGUUGUGAGGAAAGGUUAGUAGUUAAUACCUGCUAGCUGUGACGUUAACAACAGAAGAAGCACCGGCUAACUCCGUGCCAGCAGCCG